UACGUAGGGGGGCUAGCGUUGUCCGGAAUCAUUGGGCGUAAAGCGCGUGUAGGCGGUCCGGUAAGUCCGCUGUGAAAGUCGGGGGCUCAACCCUCGAAUGCCGGUGGAUACUGUCGGGCUAGAGUGCGGAAGAGGCGAGUGGAAUUCCUGGUGUAGCGGUGAAAUGCGCAGAUAUCAGGAGGAACACCUAUUGCGAAGGCAGCUCGCUGGGACGUAACUGACGCUGAGGAGCGAAAGCGUGGGGAGCGAACAGG
RNAcentral lists this ribosomal RNA (254 nucleotides) under uncultured bacterium. RNAcentral's name for it is "partial 16S ribosomal RNA". It matches the Rfam family "Bacterial small subunit ribosomal RNA", at positions 524 to 776 of the family's 1533-position model. The record is from RNAcentral.